Molecule: ribosomal RNA, 446 nt
Filed under: uncultured Actinomycetes bacterium
Lineage: Bacteria; Bacillati; Actinomycetota; Actinomycetes
Description: bacterial SSU rRNA
Rfam family: Bacterial small subunit ribosomal RNA
Source: RNAcentral
ACUCCUACGGGAGGCAGCAGUGGGGAAUAUUGCACAAUGGGCGGAAGCCUGAUGCAGCGACGCCGCGUGGGGGAUGACGGCCUUCGGGUUGUAAACCUCUUUCAGCUCUGACGAAGCGUAAGUGACGGUAGGAGCAGAAGAAGCGCCGGCCAACUACGUGCCAGCAGCCGCGGUAAGACGUAGGGCGCGAGCGUUGUCCGGAUUUAUUGGGCGUAAAGAGCUCGUAGGCGGCUUGUCGCGUCGUCUGUGAAAACCCGCGGCUCAACUGCGGGCUUGCAGUCGAUACGGGCAGGCUGGAGUUCGGUAGGGGAGACUGGAAUUCCUGGUGUAGCGGUGAAAUGCGCAGAUAUCAGGAGGAACACCGGUGGCGAAGGCGGGUCUCUGGGCCGAUACUGACGCUGAGGAGCGAAAGCGUGGGGAGCGAACAGGAUUAGAUACCCUGGUAG